CGCCUUUUGACUUAUUAACAUAAAAGGUCCUGCCUGCCCAGUGACACCUGUUCAACGGCCGCGGUAUUAUGACCGUGCAAAGGUAGCGUAAUCACUUGUCCUUUAAAUAAAGACCAGUAUGAACGGCAAGACGAAAGCCUAACUGUCUCUCUAUAUUUGUCAGUGAAAUUGAUCUUUCCGUGCAGAAGCGGAAAUAUUAUUAUAAGACGAGAAGACCCUGUGGAGCUUUAAGUUAAAGCCAACUAUUCAAUAUAGUAUGGUUAUAAGACUUUUGGUUGGGGCGACCACGAGGUAAAAUAAAACCCUCAGGAUAAAAUUUUAGAAGGACACUUCAAAUAGACAAAAUAUUGAUAUAUUGACCCAAAAAUUGAUCAACGAACCAAGUUACCCCAGGGAUAACAGCGCAAUCCACUCACAGAGUCCUUAUCGACGAGCGGGUUUACGACCUCGAUGUUGGAUCAGGACCCCCCAAUAAUGUAACAAUUAUUAAAGGUUCGUUUGUUCAACGAUUAAAGUCCU
Molecule: ribosomal RNA, 519 nt
Filed under: Thorius lunaris (crescent-nostriled thorius)
Lineage: Eukaryota; Metazoa; Chordata; Amphibia; Caudata; Plethodontidae
Description: partial large subunit ribosomal RNA
Rfam family: Bacterial large subunit ribosomal RNA
Source: RNAcentral